AAUAAAUAUGAAUAAUUUUCUGUGUUCUUAUUAUGAACUCUGCUAAAUGCAUUCCUUCUUUUCUGCUGCAUAUGUAGUUAAAACCACACUGGCUUACAGUUAAGAAGUAAAAAGAAAGCAUUUUGCUAAGAUGAUUGCUUUUUGACCAGAGGAAGAGUAAUUACAAAUAAGAAAUUGUAUAUGUGCUAAAAAAAGGAAGAAAGAUGUGUGCAAUUUUGCAGGCUAUUGCCAGGAUGAAUUAGGAUCUUGAUUGACACUGUAACUUGAUUGAAGAUAUAAGAUGUUGUUGUUGUUGAUAGUUGUCAUUAUCAUAUUGUUUUCUUGAGUCAAUACACAUGCUGCCAACUUGUUUUCGUUCUUUAUCCUGUUUUGAUUGUUCAAAUCAAUAAAUCUAUUCUGAUAUCACAACCCAAUGUGUGUCAGUGUGGCAGCUAAAUUGUGCCCUCACCAACUUUCAUAUAUGCCUAAGUUUACUUACCGGGAUCAAAGUUAUUUUGGAAAGAUGCCAUUAAUUUAGGUACCGUUUGGUU
This 530-nucleotide unclassified non-coding RNA is filed under the name Hevea brasiliensis (rubber tree). The record is from RNAcentral. Lineage: Eukaryota; Viridiplantae; Streptophyta; Magnoliopsida; Malpighiales; Euphorbiaceae.